CUGAACCAGCCAAGUAGCGUGAAGGGUGACUGCCCUAUGGGUUGUAAACUUCUUUUAUACGGGAAUAAAGUGAGCCACGUGUGGCUUUUUGUAUGUACCGUAUGAAUAAGGAUCGGCUAACUCCGUGCCAGCAGCCGCGGUAAUACGGAGGAUCCGAGCGUUAUCCGGAUUUAUUGGGUUUAAAGGGAGCGUAGGCGGGUUGUUAAGUCAGUUGUGAAAGUUUGCGG
This 227-nucleotide ribosomal RNA is filed under the name uncultured bacterium. RNAcentral's name for it is "partial 16S ribosomal RNA". It matches the Rfam family "Bacterial small subunit ribosomal RNA", at positions 383 to 607 of the family's 1533-position model. The record is from RNAcentral.